UUGAACGCUGGCGGCAUGCUUUACACAUGCAAGUCGAGCGGCAGCGCGGGGGCAACCCUGGCGGCGAGCGGCGAACGGGUGAGUAACAUAUCGGAACGUACCCAGUAGUGGGGGAUAACUAUCCGAAAGGAUAGCUAAUACCGCAUACGCCCUGAGGGGGAAAGUGGGGGAUCGCAAGACCUCGCGCGAUAGGAGCGGCCGAUAUCGGAUUAGCUUGUUGGUGAGGUAAAGGCUCACCAAGGCGACGAUCCGUAGCUGGUCUGAGAGGACGACCAGCCACACUGGAACUGAGACACGGUCCAGACUCCUACGGGAGGCAGCAGUGGGGAAUUUUGGACAAUGGGGGCAACCCUGAUCCAGCCAUUCCGCGUGAGUGAAGAAGGCCUUCGGGUUGUAAAGCUCUUUCAGCAGGAACGAAACGGUGGCUACUAAUACUAGCUACUAAUGACGGUACCUGAAGAAGAAGCACCGGCUAACUACGU
Molecule: ribosomal RNA, 482 nt
Filed under: uncultured bacterium
Lineage: Bacteria
Description: bacterial SSU rRNA
Rfam family: Bacterial small subunit ribosomal RNA
Source: RNAcentral